This is a non-coding RNA of Callithrix jacchus (white-tufted-ear marmoset), 5254 nucleotides long. The record is from RefSeq and is a predicted model, not a curated record. Lineage: Eukaryota; Metazoa; Chordata; Mammalia; Primates; Cebidae.
GAAGGGAGGGAGGGAGGGGAGAGAGGAAAGAGAGAAAAAGAGGAGGGAGGGAGAGAGGGAGAGGAGAGAGAGGAGGGAAGGAAGGAGGAGAAGAGGGAGGGAGGGAGAGAGGAAAGAGGGAAAGAGAUGAAGGAGGGAGGGAAGGAAGGCAGAAAGGAAGGGAGUUAAGCAGUAUAACCCUGUAGCAACAUUUGUAGGAGAAAGAAAAAUCUUCUGUGAGAGGCUGGUGUCCCCAGCAAUUGGCCAGGCCUGCUGAGAAUCACAGGAGUAAGUGCUUUGGUCACGCGGCCCCAUUCUGUCGCGGAGCUCCGGAUUUCCACAGCCGAUUGUCUGCUGGACGUUCCUCCCUGACACGUCUCACAGGUAACCCCUUCCAAAGUCCAUUUUAGGUCCCCCCUCCCGCUGCGCCCGGCCUCCUCCUGCUCUCUGGCCUCCGGAAUGGUCCCCUCCCAGCCAGUUUCUGACACCAGCCGCUGUCCUGGGCCUCACCCGGCCUUCCCAUCCCGACCCAAACGCGUCCUCUCGCCCUGGCCCCGGCAGGCCCUGCCCACACCCGCCCUGCCUGGGCGCCUGCUCCACUGCCGCCCGCAGCCCAUGUCCCUCACGGCUGGACCCUGAGUCUGUCACAGGUCCGCGGCGCCCAGGAUGGGCCAAGCACCCCCCGCCCCUCCCCAGGGUGCUGACCUCGCUUCCGCCCGCCCGUCGGGCUAGGCCCGCCCCAUCCCCAUCCUGCGGCGCCCCUUGGUCCUCCUUCCUGGCCCCUGGCCCCCACUUUACAACCGCCCCUGAUUUGUAGCCCCCAGUGACUAACGCAGCCCCCACCUGCUGGCCUGCGCUGACUGUGCGGGGGGUCCCCGCGGCCAACCUCGCCCCGGAAGUGCAGGGAGCACGCGGCAUAUGGUCGGGGAACAAUUCCAAAGCCGUUGCAGCGAGAGGGGGACAUCCAAUCCUGUCCACCGGCCCCCAAAGGCCGCGGUCCUGCCUGGAGAGCCGAGCUGUGCUAGGCAAGCUUCCGUGUCCCUGCCCUUGGUGGCGCCCGGCCCUCCUGUGCCCUCCUCUUGGCCUCACUCAGACCCCAGGAACCAUCAUGCACUCAGCAUCCCCAGGCAGCUCCAGCACCAAAGCCCCUCAUCCCACAGCCUCCGACACCUCGCUCAGAGUGAGCUCAGCUUUCUUAUCUUCAAAUGUGUCUUCAUCUCAGCGAAGGAAUAAAAAACUCUUCUCUUGGCCAUCCACGGAAAUGCAACUGUCGCUAAAAGGAGGAGAAAAUGUGGUGGGUGUGAGUGUGGGUGUGCCCAAGUGGCCCCUGGCCAUGCUCUUUCCCUCAGUGGGGGGACAGAGGCUGGUUGGAAGAGCACCUCCUUCCCAAGGCUCGAGGACAGGGCCGUCCCUGACACCAGCGCCCAGGCUGGGCUUCUGCACCCUCAGCUUCAAGUAGCCUCGGACCACUGCGGCCGCUGUCGAGGGUUAGCCAUUGAGUUUUUCCUGCACUUUGGGGCUCCUUCGCCAUCUGCAGCUCGACUAGGGUUGCCAGGGAGGCUUCUAUGAAGUGAGCUGAAGGGGCUGAGAACUCUUCCUCUCUCGGGAACACAGCUCCACCACGUUUAUAAGUGAAAAUUGGCUGUGGUGGGGAUCCUUCUGCCAUUCCCCAAUACCCCAGGAUUGAUGAGAGGCAUUCAGAACUGCAAGAGGCGUGAGGGGGCUGCCGUGUCCUUGCCUGGGUGGCCUCCUAGGCUCAAAUUGCUGCCCGAGAACAGGUGGCAGAACAUUUCUGAAUAUUUAACCCUUGUCUCCCAAGAGUGCAGAGACGAUAGUUCUGUGACUAAGGAAAAGAUCCCAUGUCGCUCACACCUCACUUAGGACAACUCGUGUUUUACAGAAACUUAGUAAUGUUAAAGAAUGAUUUGUGGUUUCUUUGCUCAAAUACAGGAAACUGACUUAUCUCAAAAAUGAACUCUCCCUACCGAUUUGCACAGUGAGAUUAUUUCAGCAAACAAGAAAGUGAUGGUUGCCCAUCACACCACGCUGCCUGUGACUCAGACAUCUCUCACAGGCAAAGAAGGGUGUUCUCCUCGCCCUCUCAGUUACUAAUUCUCUGAAAAUGACCAUUUGAUGGGCUGGCUGGUGAGGAUUCAGUUCAGGGAUGACUUCUCUGCUGCCACAAAGUAUGGUUCUGGGAAGGACAGCCAGCCCCAAGGCCAUGAAGGUUUGGGAAAAGUGUCUUCUCAUUUGAAGUACAGUAUUUCCUUGGCCCCAUUUUUCUAUUAAAACAAUUCUUUUUCCUUGGAGAUUGCUGAAGCUCAACUCCGGGGCCAGCCUCAGCUCCAGCAGAACUGGGAGUGUCUCUUGUUUCUACAUAGCUCCCUUCCCUCCUGCUUUCCUACUGUGUAAGGAGAAACAGCAUGUCAUUUCAUUUCUUCCUUUUCUCCCCACUUGCCACUGCAUUCUCUGUCUGGGCCUGUGUCUCUCCUUGCAGAGGCUGUGGACAGGGACACUGAGAGCCACUUCCUGGAGCAUGCUCCCCACCCCCGCAGCCUGUGGCUUCAGCCUCUGCUUCUGCAGGCAGCAGUAGAGGAAGUCAGAACUGUCCCUUCUGACCUGAACAGCUACCUCCUAGUCCUCCCUAUCGCCACAGAGACUCAGCAGUGCAAGUGAGUCCUGUUUGACCUCGUAAACCAUCGCAGACUGUAAAGGUGACUCUGAUGCUCAGGAAAUGGGCAUGCCCAGAGUAGGCCCCAGACUUCCCGCAGGCCCAGGUCCUCCUACCAGGCAAAGGUCCGGCUGCAGUGGUGCUGCACUGGUGUUGUGAGAUGCCUGUGUCAGAAGACACUGAGUUUCCCACUCACCUCCCAUCAAGCCAGCGACCACAGGAGAAAGAGCAGGGCACAUGUGCACCAGCAUGCUGAAGGGAGGGCAAAACCCAUGCUCAAAAACCACAGGCCCUGUUCUAGGAGCAGGAGAUAUAUUUAGCCAAGCAGGAUGUUUGUGGGUAAACCAACAAUUUGCUGUAAAUAAAAUUUUGCAAACUCGGGACUUUAACUGAGGAUUGCUGAAGCGUACUUUGCCUGCAUGUUGGCAAGAGAGCUAUUUUCCCAACACAAGCUCACCAUGACCCCCAUUCAGAGAUGCCUUUGACGCUGAGGGUGUGGGUGCCUUUUCCCUAAAAGGUGCUAUCAGGGGAUUGAGUAGGAGCCUGAAGAGCUAGGGGUAUCUUCUCCCUGCAUGGACCAGCAGGCAGACCCUGUCCCUUCACACUGCAGUGGCAUGUGAUGGGCCCCACUGCCCACCUGAUUCUGCUGUCCAGGCUGAAGUCCUCGUGUGACACUCUAAACUGUUCUGGCAAGGAAGGGUCACAGGUUCUGACCCAGACUCUGAAACUGACCAGCAAUGAUCAGCUCUGCCUGGACUUCAGCCAUCAUUGUGUACAUAAUGCGCAUAGGGUGCUUCUCUCCAUUCCCAGGUUUGCCUCUCUCCAACUUUUGCUGAAGCAGGUUUCUACUCCAUUAGUCCCACAUAUGUGUGCGCAGGGCUGGUACUGACUGUGGUGCUGGGGAAGACAUGUGCUUGGAGGCAGCCCUAUGAGAUGGCACAGCCUGGGGAGGAGCCGCGAUGGGGAGGAGCCAUGAUGGGGAGGACACUGGCCACACAUGAUAGAGGAAGCAUGGCCACACAGUCUUUGCUGUCCCUGCUGCAGCGUGGUUGUGUAAGUCUCCUCCUUCUGAGUAUGUGCGAACUUAUGUGACCAAUUAGACCCAACAGAAAUGCAACAUAUGUGAUGCGUGAAAGUUCCAGACCGGGCCACAGAGAGCUCCAUGGCUUUGGCUGUAUUUCCUGGAGCACUUGCUCCCAGGACACCCUGUCAGAGCCCAGGCACCAUGUCCUGAGAGAACCCCAGCCACAGAGACAAGCCAGGUAUAGGUGCUUUCAUCAAAGCUCCACCUGUGCUUCCAACCAGCAGUGCCAGGGUGCCACUUGUACAGGCAGCUCCAGCCUCCAGGGGAGGCUUCAGAGGACAGCAUCAGGCAGCACCCACAUAGGAGACCUGGACAGAAAAACGCCUAGCCAAGCCCUGCCCAGAUCCCUGGCCUGGGCAAUUGCGAGCACAGCAAUUCAAUGUGGAGCGGUUUUAUGCUGCAAUAGGUGGCCAAAGCGCUAUGGAAGUAUCAGGAGCCCCUCACUGGGGUGUCAGGAGAAGACGUUCAAGGAAGGCUUCCUGGAAGAAUUCGUACCUCAGUUGGUACAGGAUAAGGCGAGAUGGAGAGAAAGCAGCCCAAUCUGAAGACCCAGAGGUGAGAGAGGGUCCCAUUCCCCUGGGGAUGUGUGGUCUGUGGUGGGAUUCGAGCCCUGGUGAGCUGGAAGCAGAGGAUGCUCGGAUAAGCUGUACUCUGAAUCCCUCUGUGUUGACUGCAGCACUUGCUGAGGAAGCCGCCUGGCCAUGCCCACACCCUGCAGAGGGAAGGACUGUGGAGGGCAGGACUCAAAGGCCUCGGGCAGCCACAGGGCGCAUGCUUGUCUCUGACUCACCGCAACGAUGUAGCACAACGAUGUAGUGCUGUGGCAGCUGCUGGCAAGCCUCACACCCCAUUCCCUCCAGAGGAUUUUUUAAAAUACACAAAGCUGGGAGCGAAGGGGCAUUUAAUUCCCCUAUGAAUGCAUGAUGAACGCAGCUGGAGCAGCCAGCCCCGCUGCAGCUGGGAAGAUGCACUGCCUCGAGGUGCAGGCACUGUUCGCUGCCAUGUGUGUGCACAGGUCCUGAGGGUGAAAGGUCCCUGGUAUUUGGCUAGAGUGUUAGGCUCUGAAGAAUAAGAAGUCCCCCACCUGGUGUAGAAGGUCUAGCCAGGCUCCAGACUGGUUUCACAGAGGUAAUGCUUUUUUAUUUGAAAUCCACAAGAGCACGCUGCAAUGUCACUGCAAGCUUGAACACUGCUUCUCAAACUUUCAUGAGCACCCAAAUCAUCAGGGGGCACGACGCAGUGGGUCGCUUACUGAAAUGAAGACUCUGCAUCACAAGGUCUGGGAUGGGGCCAUGAUUGUGUGUUUCUAACAGGUUGCUGGUGAGGCUGAAGCCACUGAUCCAUGGAGCACAUUUUGAAUAGCAAGAAUGUGGAGGAGCUGUCCCAAGAUGGGGCGUGAUUUAUUUGAACUCUCACAGUGGUUUGACAAUGGACAGCUUGUCCACAACUAAAAAAUAAAAAUAAAAUAAAAUCACACUCAUUAUUCCUGGAAUAAGCAAUAAAAUUGGAAAUAAAUCAAA